AAAAUGACUCUCGGCAACGGAUAUCCCGGCUCUCGCAUCGAUGAAGAACGUAGCGAAAUGCGAUACUUGGUGUGAAUUGCAGAAUCCCGUGAACCAUCGAGUCUUUGAACGCAAGUUGCGCCCGAAGCCAUUAGGCUUAGGGCACGUCUGCCUGGGUGUCACGC
This 164-nucleotide ribosomal RNA is filed under the name Daucus broteri. Its description in RNAcentral is "5.8S ribosomal RNA". It matches the Rfam family "5.8S ribosomal RNA". From Rfam's summary of the family: 5.8S ribosomal RNA (5.8S rRNA) is a component of the large subunit of the eukaryotic ribosome. It is transcribed by RNA polymerase I as part of the 45S precursor that also contains 18S and 28S rRNA. Lineage: Eukaryota; Viridiplantae; Streptophyta; Magnoliopsida; Apiales; Apiaceae. RNAcentral also lists the same sequence under 7 other names. The record is from RNAcentral.